GACGAACGCUGGCGGCGUGCCUAAUACAUGCCAGUUGAGCGAUGAAGAUUGGUGCUUGCACCAAUUUGAAGAGCAGCGAAAGGGUGAGUAACGCGUGGGGAAUCUGCCUUUGAGCGGGGGACAACAUUUGGAAACGAAUGCUAAUACCGCAUAACAACUUUAAACAUAAGUUUUAAGUUUGAAAGAUGCAAUUGCAUCACUCAAAGAUGAUCCCGCGUUGUAUUAGCUAGUUGGUGAGGUAAAGGCUCACCAAGGCGAUGAUACAUAGCCGACCUGAGAGGGUGAUCGGCCACAUUGGGACUGAGACACGGCCCAAACUCCUACGGGAGGCAGCAGUAGGGAAUCUUCGGCAAUGGACGAAAGUCUGACCGAGCAACGCCGCGUGAGUGAAGAAGGUUUUCGGAUCGUAAAACUCUGUUGGUAGAGAAGAACGUUGGUGAGAGUGGAAAGCUCAUCAAGUGACGGUAACUACCCAGAAAGGGACGGCUAACUACGUG
This 497-nucleotide ribosomal RNA is filed under the name uncultured bacterium. Its description in RNAcentral is "partial 16S ribosomal RNA". It matches the Rfam family "Bacterial small subunit ribosomal RNA", at positions 28 to 507 of the family's 1533-position model. The record is from RNAcentral.